UAUAAACUUCCUUGUGGGACACGUAUCGUAAAUACAGCAAUAGUAUUGAUAAACUUAUUUGACAAUAUACAAUUAAAGAUCAUAUUCAUUUAUAAUGAUACAAAAAUUCACUUACUGCUUAAUUUAAUUUGUGGUUCAUUCUGUACCAAUGAAGGUCCAAACACUGGGUGUCGCAGUAAUUGAACACCUGCGGUUGGAGGUAGUUUGGCCUUUACCAAUGAAGGCCAAGAAAAAAGGUUGAACGUGUAUACACGAUGGGGGGUUUUCGUUGACGAUAUGUUUAAAAUGCAAUCAUCUUUCCCCGCUUGGCUGAAAAUACCACUUGGCAGGAAGUUAACAUCCAUGUUGUAUGCUGUCGGAAAUAGUCGCCAUUCCAACGAAGAAGUGCACGCGAUGAUGGUCAACGAUUUAAAGCAGUUUUCGGCAAUUCUAGAGUGUAUUAUGCUUCUAAGGCGACCAAAAAAUACGUUAUGGGAGACCGGAUAGGUGAUGUUGACUGCGCGGCGUUCGGUAUCUUGUCCCAGGUCCGCUGGUGCACGCCGUCAGCCGUUUCGGGAGCUGCUAUGUUACAAGGUGCUGAAUUAAAGAAUAUCACAGACUACAUGGACAGAAUAAAGAACGACUUUUGGCCAGACUGGGAAGAAAUAACAAGUCAGGCGGCACAGAAAGCUUUAUGAUGAUGGAAUUAUACAAAUUAUUCAAAAGUUUGAGGACAAGCAACGGAAAAAAAUACCAUCGAUGUCGUUGAUUUGCAGAAAUUCAAUAGGGCACCUUAUUGAGUCGAAUUCGUAAAGCAUCUUGGGGAACAUUACUUUGCAAACUUUGCAAAAGCAAAACAAAGAUGUCUAAAUCAUAAAUGAAUAUGUGACUGAACAAAUUAUACAUUUCUCCAUAAUGUUAAAACUCGGCACCAUUGCGACUUCUGUCUGUGCUAAAAAACGGCGCGAGUUUGCCCACUGUCCAUAAUGGCAACGCACGGGUCCAGUGUGCCCUCUGUGCAUUAUGCUUAAACACGGCGCGAGUUUGCCCACUGUCCAUAAUGACAACACACGGGUCCUAUAUUCCCCCUGUCCAUAAUGGCAACACACAGCACUGCUGUUUUCUCUGUCCGUAAUGGCAACUCAUGGGUCCAAUGUGCCAUCUGUCACAAAUGGCAACACACGGCGCAAGUGUUUCCUCUGUCCAUAUUGUUCAAUUGCUCAACAAUAUUAUGGGUUUGAUGGACUGGUCUGACCCUCAGUGGCGAAAACUCUCAGCUCCCUUUUACAUAUCCCUUCCCUUGCCCACAACGGCUGAAUGGUCAUAAAACUAGCUGAACUAUACAAACAACUGUUUAAAAGUAGUAGAAUACAAGGGACGAUACCAUUUCAAUAAACACGAUAACUAAACCCUGAUGCAUAUUGCAGACACGACAUACUGGAUAUACUGUGAUAAUUACUGUGUGUUUAUUGUUAUUAAUGGUUAUCAUUCGAAUCCCCCUUAUUUACGCGUCAUUUGUAAUUGGAAAUACAUAUUUGGACAUGAAUAAGUCUGAAUACUUGAAGACUAGUUUACCCCCUCAUUUAUUAUUUUCGCUAACCGUUCCAAGUCGGUAACCCCAACUCUUAUUAAUAUUUUAAUGCACGCAUGUGUCGUCUGUAUAAAUGGAGAUUUUGAAGUGUAAAAAACACCAUUUUCUUUAAAGAAAACAAUAUCUUCAUUGUUAUAAUAAGCAUAACAGAAAAUGCUUGAAUUUUUUUCAUCUCUAUUUUUGGUUGUCAAUGGCCAGCAAAGAAUAACCAUCGUAUUUGUUUAAUUUGUAUGUCAUAAAAAAACUCAUAUGACCAUUUAAUCGUCGAUUUUCUAAGACAAAAACAACGAUACAAUGAAUAACACAUGUGAA
This is a long non-coding RNA of Mya arenaria, 1882 nucleotides long. RefSeq lists it as uncharacterized. The record is from RefSeq and is a predicted model, not a curated record. Lineage: Eukaryota; Metazoa; Mollusca; Bivalvia; Myida; Myidae. The transcript has 4 exons.